AAGAGAACCCCACUGAGCAUGCUCAACAACCUAAGACAGUUAAACUACUAACAGUCUACAGGAAAACUAUUCUAAUAUUUUUAAAGGACCGUUUCAUAACAAAGCUUAAGAGACUAUAUUCCAUUCAGUUACUUGCCAGGAUCAAUCAUAAUGUUCUGCUAAACAGAGGACCAAAGGAGGAGCUGUUAUUUCUAACCUAUCCAGUUGUGGUAUCUUCCUGUUUCUGUCCCAUAUUGUAAUAAGGAAAUUGUCAUUGCUAGACAAUGGGCAGUGCUCAUCCUUCCAAUUCUGGGAAUUUUUUAAAUCACUGGUAGCCUGUCCAACACUGAGAGAAGAAUGAAAUUGUUCUCUAUUGGCCAGUGUACACUUUUUAGCUAUUUUGUAAAGGUUGUGGGAAAUUAUUUCACAUGGCAGCUACAAAACCAACCAAAUAUUUGGGGUGGAACCGGGGAAGAUAAACCUGGUGUGGCAGUAACCUACAAGGCGCUUUCCAGACUAGACCCUACAACGGGGUCAGGACGAAUCUCAGCAGUGUGCUUCCAUACUUCCUGUACUGUGACGCCGCAGUCCCUACACGGACAGAAGGGUGCCAUUCACAUUUCCAAUGCCUUGUUGUGAAUUUAAUUGUUGCGAUAUAGAGCAAGGACACCAUAUAUCCAGCGUGAAAAAGUUGCUGUUUUUUCGGGUUCUUAGUAGCUGCGAGACUGCUCCCCCUGUUGUUUACGAUCUGAAUGUGACUUGCCUGAAUGGAGGCAUUUUGCUGCUGAUGAACAGCUAGUCUGGAAAGCACCCAGUAGAAAAUCAUUCAUUGAGCCCUUUCCCAUGAGCAGUGAGAAAGAGCAAGAGAGUUAGCAGGGAGGAAACCCUAAAGAGCUUACUUCCCCGCAGACGAGUGACAGUGUCCUCUUCGGUGGGUGGAUCACCUGCCCAGAUGACUUCUGGCUGCGGAGGGCCAGGUGCCAGGACGUAUCGCUCCGCAUCGCCCCACCCCCUGG
Molecule: long non-coding RNA, 995 nt
Organism: Hemicordylus capensis (graceful crag lizard)
Lineage: Eukaryota; Metazoa; Chordata; Lepidosauria; Squamata; Cordylidae
Exons: 3
Source: RefSeq, a predicted model, not a curated record